UUGAUACACAGUUAUAUCAACACGAGUGGAAUUGGGAAAACGAGAAAUUGUAUGGAAACACGACGCACGAAGGGCGGAGUGUUUUCAUACAAUUUCGAGUUUUCCCAACUUCCACGAGUGUUGAUAUAACUAUAUAUCAAUACGGAAAAAAUGUUUUAUAUUUUUUUUUAUAAUAUAGCAAUGUCAAAAGCCCGAAGAAUAAGAAAAAUUUCCGUGUUUACAAGCGGCGGAAAAUUUCCCGUG
This 243-nucleotide long non-coding RNA is filed under the name Paramuricea clavata. The record is from RNAcentral. Lineage: Eukaryota; Metazoa; Cnidaria; Anthozoa; Malacalcyonacea; Plexauridae.